AUACUUACCUGGCAGGGGAAAUACCAUGAUCACGAAGGUGGUUUUCCCAGGGCGAGGCUCAUCCAUUGCACUCCGGAUGUACUGACCCCUGCGAUUUCCCCAAAUGUGGGAAACUCGACCGCAUAAUUUGUGGUAGUGGGGGACUGCGUUCGCGCUUUCCCCUG
This 164-nucleotide small nuclear RNA is filed under the name Ursus americanus (American black bear). Its description in RNAcentral is "U1 spliceosomal RNA (ENSUAMG00000009891.1)". It matches the Rfam family "U1 spliceosomal RNA". From Rfam's summary of the family: U1 is a small nuclear RNA (snRNA) component of the spliceosome (involved in pre-mRNA splicing). Its 5' end forms complementary base pairs with the 5' splice junction, thus defining the 5' donor site of an intron. The record is from Rfam by way of RNAcentral. Lineage: Eukaryota; Metazoa; Chordata; Mammalia; Carnivora; Ursidae.